AGUCGUAACAAGGUAUCCGUAGGUGAACCUGCGGAUGGAUCAUUACCAAAGGAUUUUUCCUGACGUAUUGUGAACUGUAUUGAAUGCAUAGUUAGUGAGGGUGGUUUUGUAGAGAUUAAUCUCUCUAUAACAUCAACACUCACUAACUGUAAACAAAACGUAUUUACUCCAUAAACUGACGUCUGCUUUAGCUUAAUAAACUAAAGACAACUUUUAGCAAUGGAUCUCUUGGCUCUC
This 237-nucleotide unclassified non-coding RNA is filed under the name fungal sp. RNAcentral's name for it is "partial internal transcribed spacer region". The stretch from base 1 to 45 matches the Rfam family "Eukaryotic small subunit ribosomal RNA", at positions 1787 to 1831 of the family's 1831-position model. Lineage: Eukaryota; Fungi. The record is from RNAcentral.